This 314-nucleotide non-coding RNA is filed under the name Stelis phaeoptera. Lineage: Eukaryota; Metazoa; Arthropoda; Insecta; Hymenoptera; Megachilidae. The record is from RNAcentral.
UUGGAGAGGGGUUUACGAGUAGAACACCAAGUACCGGGAAGGUCAACAAGCGUGUUCGUGGUAACCUAACCCUAACCACCUGAUGCCCUCCUUCAUUCGUGAAAGAGGGCAUUAAAGUGAAUUGUGGCCCGACAUUUCUAAAUUUAGAAUUUGUUUGAAAAUUUAGGUAUAGAUAAUUACUAUUAUAUACAUCGCGGGUCAGUAAUGGGAGCACAACGGAAUUUGUGUGUGUUUCCAUACAUGUGGUUUGUUCGCCCUUAUUCCACAUAAAAAAAAAUGUACAAAGGGUAUUCUCGUUAAAACCCCUUUUUUUU